Molecule: ribosomal RNA, 366 nt
Filed under: uncultured eukaryote
Lineage: Eukaryota
Description: partial 18S ribosomal RNA
Rfam family: Eukaryotic small subunit ribosomal RNA
Source: RNAcentral
CAAUAGCGUAUAUUAACGUUGUUGCAGUUAAAAAGCUCGUAGUUGGAUUUCUGGAGGGAGCGUCGACCCGUAUUUACGAGUGCGUGACGUCUCUGUCCAUCCUUGCGGGAAGGCACGGCAUUGAUUUGUUGUGUCGGAUCGCAUCAUUUACUGUGAAAAAAUUAGAGUGUUCAAAGCAGGCUUUCGCUUGAAUACAUUAGCAUGGAAUAAUAAGAUAGGACUUUGGUGCUAUUUUGUUGGUUGAGCCUAAAGUAAUGAUUAAUAGGGAUAGUUGGGGGCACCUGUAUUGCGUUGUCAGAGGUGAAAUUCUUGGAUUUACGCAAGACAAACAGCUGCGAAAGCGUCUGCCAAGGAUGUUUNCAUUAG